UGAUCUCACUAUUGCCUGUGUGCCAGCUC
Molecule: non-coding RNA, 29 nt
Filed under: Rattus norvegicus (Norway rat)
Lineage: Eukaryota; Metazoa; Chordata; Mammalia; Rodentia; Muridae
Source: RNAcentral